GGACCCGUAGCUCAGCUGGAUAGAGCGUCGCCCUCCGAAGGCGAAGGUCGUGAGUUCGAAUCUCGUCGGGUCCG
RNAcentral lists this transfer RNA (74 nucleotides) under Commensalibacter papalotli (ex Servin-Garciduenas et al. 2014). It matches the Rfam family "tRNA". Rfam says of the family: Transfer RNA (tRNA) molecules are approximately 80 nucleotides in length. Their secondary structure includes four short double-helical elements and three loops (D, anti-codon, and T loops). Lineage: Bacteria; Pseudomonadati; Pseudomonadota; Alphaproteobacteria; Acetobacterales; Acetobacteraceae. The record is from Rfam by way of RNAcentral.